GUCGAGCGAGUGUUUAGAGAUUUCUUCGGAUUGAAUCUUAAAUAUCUUAGCGGCGGACGGGUGAGUAACGCGUGAGAAACCUGCCUUUCACAAAGGGAUAGCCUCGGGAAACUGGGAUUAAUACCUUAUGAUACUUUUUCUUCGCAUGAGGAAAAAGUCAAAGCGUAAAGCGGUGAAAGAUGGUCUCGCGUCCCAUUAGUUAGUUGGUGAGGUAACGGCUCACCAAGACAGCGAUGGGUAGCCGGCCUGAGAGGGUGAACGGCCACACUGGAACUGAGACACGGUCCAGACUCCUACGGGAGGCAGCAGUGGGGAAUAUUGCACAAUGGAGGAAACUCUGAUGCAGCGACGCCGCGUGAACGAUGAAGGCUUUCGAGUCGUAAAGUUCUGUCCUAGGGGACGAUAAUGACGGUACCCUAGGAGGAAGCCCCGGCUAACUACGUGCCAGCAGCCGCGGUAAUACGUAGGGGGCAAGCGUUGUCCGGAUUUAUUGGGCGUAAAGGGNACGCAGGCGGCCUUUUAAGUCAGAUGUGAAAGAUCACGGCUCAACCGUGGUAAGCAUUUGAAACUGGAAGGCUUGAGUUAAGGAGAGGAAAGUGGAAUUCCUAGUGUAGCGGUGAAAUGCGUAGAUAUUAGGAGGAAUACCAGUGGCGAAGGCGACUUUCUGGACUUAUACUGACGCUGAGGUACGAAAGCGUGGGGAGCGAACAGGAUUAGAUACCCUGGUAGUCCACGCCGUAAACGAUGAGU
This 750-nucleotide ribosomal RNA is filed under the name bacterium enrichment culture. RNAcentral describes it as "bacterial SSU rRNA". It matches the Rfam family "Bacterial small subunit ribosomal RNA", at positions 61 to 814 of the family's 1533-position model. The record is from RNAcentral.